This 253-nucleotide ribosomal RNA is filed under the name uncultured bacterium. RNAcentral's name for it is "partial 16S ribosomal RNA". It matches the Rfam family "Bacterial small subunit ribosomal RNA", at positions 524 to 776 of the family's 1533-position model. The record is from RNAcentral.
UACGGGGGGGGCAAGCGUUGUUCGGAAUUACUGGGCGUAAAGGGCUCGUAGGCGGCUCGCUAAGUCAGACGUGAAAGCCCUCGGCUUAACCGGGGAACGGCGUCUGAGACUGGCAAGCUUGAAUCCGGGAGAGGGAUGCGGAAUUCCAGGUGUAGCGGUGAAAUGCGCAGAUAUCAGGAGGAACACCGGUGGCGAAGGCGGGUCUCUGGGCCGAUACUGACGCUGAGGAGCGAAAGCGUGGGGAGCGAACAGG